This 471-nucleotide ribosomal RNA is filed under the name uncultured bacterium. RNAcentral's name for it is "SSU rRNA". It matches the Rfam family "Bacterial small subunit ribosomal RNA", at positions 26 to 518 of the family's 1533-position model. The record is from RNAcentral.
AGGACGAACGCUGGCGGCGUGCUUAACACAUGCAAGUCGAGCGGAAAGGCCCUUCGGGGUACUCGAGCGGCGAACGGGUGAGUAACACGUGAGUAAUCUGCCUUCAGCUCUGGGAUAGCUCCGGGAAACCGGGAUUAAUACCGGAUAUGACCACUUCGGACAUCUGUUGUGGUGGAAAGUUUUUCGGCUGGAGAUGAGCUCGCGGCCUAUCAGCUUGUUGGUGGGGUAACGGCCUACCAAGGCGACGACGGGUAGCCGGCCUGAGAGGGCGACCGGCCACACUGGGACUGAGACACGGCCCAGACUCCUACGGGAGGCAGCAGUGGGGAAUAUUGCGCAAUGGGCGGAAGCCUGACGCAGCGACGCCGCGUGGGGGAUGAAGGCCUUCGGGUUGUAAACCCUUUCAGCAGGACGAAGCGGAAGUGACGGUACCUGCAGAAGAGCGCCGGCUAACUACGUGUCAGCAGCCGC